This 107-nucleotide small nuclear RNA is filed under the name Carlito syrichta (Philippine tarsier). The record is from RNAcentral. Lineage: Eukaryota; Metazoa; Chordata; Mammalia; Primates; Tarsiidae.
GUGCCUACUUCGGCAGCAUAUAUACUAAAAUUGGAAUGAUACAGAGAAGAUUAGCACGGCCCCUGUGCAAGGAUGACAUGCAGAUUCAUGAGGGGUUCCAUAUUUUU